Molecule: ribosomal RNA, 415 nt
Filed under: uncultured prokaryote
Description: bacterial SSU rRNA
Rfam family: Bacterial small subunit ribosomal RNA
Source: RNAcentral
GUGUCAGCAGCCGCGGUAAUACGUAAGGAGCGAGCGUUGUCCGGAUUUACUGGGCGUAAAGCGCAUGCAGGCGGCCUUGUAAGUCGGAUGUGAAAUCUCCCGGCUCAACUGGGAGGCGUCAUUCGAUACUGCAAGGCUUGAGGGCAGGAGAGGGGAGUGGAAUUCCCGGUGUAGUGGUGAAAUGCGUAGAUAUCGGGAGGAACACCAGUGGCGAAGGCGGCUCCCUGGCCUGUACCUGACGCUAAGAUGCGAAAGCGUGGGGAGCGAACGGGAUUAGAAACCCCGGUAGUCCACGCCGUAAACGAUGCGGACUAGGUGUGGGAGGUAUUGACCCCUUCCGUGCCGUAGCUAACGCGUUAAGUCCGCCGCCUGGGGACUACGGCCGCAAGGCUGAAACUUAAAGGAAUUGACGGGG